UUGGAUGGGUUUCCCCCCAGCGCGAUUAACAGCUCCUGUUUGUAUGGCACCACGGAGAGGAUAAGAGCGAAACGUCUUUUGUGAUCAAAGCGUUCGUGCUGCCGUGGUGAUGCGGGAACCGAAAUGGGACAGAGCUACAAGUGGCAAGAAGCUUAUUUCCAYCCGCUUUCUGCAGUAAGAAA
Nothoprocta perdicaria is the source of this 182-nucleotide long non-coding RNA. RefSeq lists it as uncharacterized. The transcript has 2 exons. The record is from RefSeq and is a predicted model, not a curated record. NCBI's taxonomy places the organism in Eukaryota, Metazoa, Chordata, Aves, Tinamiformes, Tinamidae.